RNAcentral lists this unclassified non-coding RNA (253 nucleotides) under plant metagenome. RNAcentral describes it as "partial contains small subunit ribosomal RNA, internal transcribed spacer 1, and 5.8S ribosomal RNA". The stretch from base 205 to 253 matches the Rfam family "5.8S ribosomal RNA", at positions 1 to 49 of the family's 154-position model. The record is from RNAcentral.
UUUCCGUAGGUGAACCUGCCGAAGGAUCAUUAUUGGAUUUUGAAACUUCAGGCUGCUGCUGGCUCUCCUCGGAGGGCAUGUGCACGCUUGUUGUCCAUUAUUUCUCCCACUGUGCACAAAUUGUAGACCUUUCAGUAGGCCUAUGUUGUUUUUCACAAUCUCUGAAUGUAAUAGAAUGGUUUUGAAUCUUGGGAAAUACAAUACAACUUUCAGCAACGGAUCUCUUGGCUCUCGCAUCGAUGGAGAACGCAGC